GACGAACGCUGGCGGCGUGCUUAACACAUGCAAGUCGAACGGGUCUGCCCUGUUUUUUGCGGGGUGGGUCAGUGGCGAACGGGUGAGUAACACGUGAGUAACCUGCCCCUCACUUCUGGAUAACCGCUUGAAAGGGUGGCUAAUACGGGGUGUUCUGGCUGUGCCGCAUGGUGUGGCUGGGAAAGAUUCACUUUUGUGGUGUUUUGGUGGGGGAUGGGCUCGCGGCCUAUCAGCUUGUUGGUGGGGUGAUGGCCUGCCAAGGCUUUGACGGGUAGCCGGCCUGAGAGGGUGGGCGGUCACACUGGGACUGAGAUACGGCCCAGACUCCUGCGGGAGGCAGCAGUGGGGGGUAUUGCACAAUGGGCGGAAGCCUGAUGCAGCGACGUCGCGUGAGGGAUGGAGGCCUUCGGGUUGUGAACCUCUUUCGCCGGUGAAGAAGGUCCUGCUACUUGUGGUGGGGUUGACGGUAGCCGGGUUAUGAAGCGCCGGCUAACUACGUG
Molecule: ribosomal RNA, 500 nt
Filed under: uncultured bacterium
Lineage: Bacteria
Description: partial 16S ribosomal RNA
Rfam family: Bacterial small subunit ribosomal RNA
Source: RNAcentral